ACUUUCAUGGUUGUGUGGGUGGACUCUCCAUUCUUAGAAAAGCUCAGCUCCAGUUAGAUGAUGAAUUUAGUGUUCCACAUUCCAUCAAGCACUGUGGUCAAACUUGCAUCUAAUCAUAGCAUCCUGCGGUAGAAAAAGAAGCUCACUUGUUGGAUGAGAAUUUGGGACACAUCCAGUAAGACAUUCUUCCCUCGAGAGAAAUCAUAACAUAGAAGUCCUGGACAUCAUCAUGAGGAAAUAAUGACCUUUGUUCAUGCUGUUCAUGUGGUAGUAAAGAAGCAUUAGGCACACAGCUAUUAGUAUCCCCACGAUCAAAGCACCAUGCAAUUAGCAUCGGCAAAAGGAUACUAACAGGUCCCAUCAGAUGAGACUUUGAAGUUAUCUUCAUGUUUGGGGCACUUACUGCCCUCACCGACUUGAUUGUCCAAAAGAAGCCAAGCUUUCACUGCAUGUAACCCCCAUAGCACUUUGUUGAUGGGUGGGAGGAAAUGAGCAUCUGAUUCCUCCAUUCCCUUUGGAAAGCUAAAGCUACAUUAAAUGCUGCAUCUCUGAUGUACUUAUCAUUCUUGCCAUGUGCCGCAGAGCUGAUCCGAACCAUCCACACUGUCAUCGAGAAUGAAGAGAAAGUAAUCUAUUUGUCUACAGUGAAAUGAGAGGUUAAUGCUUGACAAGCAAUACUGGAAUAAAAGGAACAGAUUCUUGUCCAGGGAUUAUUCAAUUGAUCUUGAGUACUAUGGAUGUGUAUGAGUGUACAAAGUAGAAAGAGUAGAACAAAGGCUAGAAAAGCAGGAGUCAGAAGGUUCUUGUUAGAGACUUAAUACCACUAAUGUACUCAUCAUCAUCACUAUGUACAAGUGCAAUAAAGUGUCAGUGGAGCUGUGUCAUGAUGUAUUUGUCUACCACUCAAUAAUUGGAGGCAUGCAUAUGAAAAGUAGAGGGCAGAUGGAGCUCAUACGCCCACUUGGUGGGCUCCAAAGAGCAGAGGCUUUUGUGAUGGAUACUGCAUGUGUAGUCAACUUUGCAACAAAAGAUUGAAAGCUUCAAGAAGAACAUAUUCUGAGUCAAGAACUUUAUGAGUGAUGGAGCCAUUUGUGGUGCUCAAUGCUCCUCGGAUGAUGUCCCAGAUGAACAUUUUAGAAAGGGUGCCUUCGGUUGUCUAAGCUAUAAAGACAUGGCAGGAACUUUGUGGUUUCUCAGCAUCUAAAUAAUCACACCUGCAAGUUUCAUGCUAUCAUUCUGUAGCUCUGCAGCAAAUAUCAUGCUACCAAUGCAAUAAAACAUGAGCAACAUCUUUGAUCUAUGAUUCUGAUACAGUCAUUCCUUGGAGCAAGGAUGGUGACAGAAGAUGCAUCUUUGCAUCGCCAUCCAAGAACAGGAUCGAGCAAGGUGGCAUCACGAAUUGCAUCAGAGGCAUUACAUCAUACAAGAGAUCUGUAUGAAGCAUGGCUGAGGAGUGAAAGAGGGUUUGAACACUGUACCUGAGAGCACUAUGAAGCUGUCUGUGUUGCAGCCACCACCGCACCCACCAUCACACGGCUGGGAUUUGGUGCUCCGGCUCUUUAAGUUUCCACCACCCAAUGAGCGCUUCGAUCUCUCCCCUGUAGAUUAUUCCUGGUGAGGGAAGGAGCCGAAGGACCACCGCAGUCACGCUUUCUCAUUGCUGGCUUCCCCACUUCAUUCCCUGCGGUGGAGUCCCGCUUUCCAUCCUCUCCUCUGCAGGCUUUACUCCCAUGCU
RNAcentral lists this long non-coding RNA (1735 nucleotides) under Musa acuminata (dwarf banana). Its description in RNAcentral is "long non-coding RNA (MACU_LNC001531)". The record is from RNAcentral. Lineage: Eukaryota; Viridiplantae; Streptophyta; Magnoliopsida; Zingiberales; Musaceae.